AUGGCUGUCACCACCAGGCGGCCAUUGGCACUGCUCAUCUCUCGCUCUCUCUCUCUUUCCCCACCUCUGCUCACGCACCCAAAGCACAGCCACAAGUUCACGAGCCGGCGCACGGCAAGCAGCAGAGAGACGAGAGUAAUGGGCAACGCUCUGCCGUGCUUGGUCGACCAGGGCGUGAAGGCUCUGCCGGCGGCGGCGAAGCCCAGGCGGAGGAUGUACUCGCUCCAGCUUCUCAUGAAGGUCCUCCACACGAUGAAGAAGACGACGCGCGGCAGCAAGAUUGGCGGCAAGUCCUCGCCGGAAUCCGAAGUAGGUGGGGCGGGCGUGAAGAGCAUCAAGGCCUCCCCGAGACGAGCGGCGGCAGGUCGUGGUGGCGGUGGCCAGAGGAAGGGCGUCGUGCGGGUGAAGGUGCUCCUGAGCAAGGAGGAGGCGGCGCGGCUGCUGUCGCUGACCGUCGGGGGCCAGAAGACGGCGGCGCAGAUCGUGGCCGAGAUCAAGAGGAUGGAGGCGCGCCGCGCCGCCGCCAAUGCCGCCGCGGCGGCCGGGUGGCGGCCCGCGCUGGCGAGCAUCCCGGAGGAGUCGUCGUAG
Molecule: ribosomal RNA, 588 nt
Filed under: Triticum aestivum (bread wheat)
Lineage: Eukaryota; Viridiplantae; Streptophyta; Magnoliopsida; Poales; Poaceae
Description: partial small subunit ribosomal RNA
Source: RNAcentral